UGGGGGAUAUUGCACGAUGGGCGAAAGCCUGAUGCAGCGACGCCGCGUGGGGGAUGAAGGCUUUCGGGUUGUAAACCUCUUUCGCUAUCGAACAAGGCCCGCUUAGGGUGGGUUGAGGGUAGGUGGAGAAGAAGCGCCGGCUAACUACGUGCCAGCAGCCGCGGUAAUACGUAGGGCGCGAGCGUUGUCCGGAAUUAUUGGGCGUAAAGGGCUUGUAGGCGGCUUGUUGCGCCUGCUGUGAAAACGCGGGGCUUAACUUCGCGCGUGCAGUGGGUACGGGCAGGCUUGAGUGUGGUAGGGGUGACUGGAAUUCCAGGUGUAGCGGUGGAAUGCGCAGAUAUCUGGAGGAACACCGAUGGCGAAGGCAGGUCACUGGGCCAUUACUGACGCUGAGGAGCGAAAGCAUGGGUAGCGAACAGG
This 420-nucleotide ribosomal RNA is filed under the name bacterium. RNAcentral describes it as "partial 16S ribosomal RNA". It matches the Rfam family "Bacterial small subunit ribosomal RNA", at positions 355 to 776 of the family's 1533-position model. The record is from RNAcentral.